RNAcentral lists this long non-coding RNA (278 nucleotides) under Homo sapiens (human). Its description in RNAcentral is "HSALNT0245507". The record is from RNAcentral. Lineage: Eukaryota; Metazoa; Chordata; Mammalia; Primates; Hominidae.
UUGCUGGCUGUUGAUCAAGGACUGCCCUCAGUUUCCUGCUGCAGAAGCCUCUUUGUAAAGCAGCUAUGGCAGGAAGAGUCACCCUCAGAGCCGGCGAGAGAGAGAGGGGUCCAGCCCACACCCAAGGGAAGGAGAUUCCGCAAGGGCAUGGAUACCAGGAGGUAAGGACCAUUGGGGCCAUGCGGGAGGCUGCUGCCUCGUCUCUACUGGUUAGGGGAGUGUACACAUGCUGGCAAGAGAGACAUGGGAUUUUGGUUUUGCAGGUGCUUUUUUUUUUU